Molecule: ribosomal RNA, 404 nt
Filed under: uncultured bacterium
Lineage: Bacteria
Description: bacterial SSU rRNA
Rfam family: Bacterial small subunit ribosomal RNA
Source: RNAcentral
ACUAAAUAGAUACCCAGGUAGUCCACGCCCUAAACGAUGUCUACUAGUUGUUGGUGGAGUAAAAUCCAUGAGUAAACGCAGCUAAACGCGUGAAGUAGACCGCCUGGGGAGUACGGUCGCAAGAUUAAAACUCAAAGGAAUUGACGGGGGCCCGGCACAAGCGGUGGAUUAUGUGGAUUAAAUUCGAUGCAACGCGAAAAACCUUACCUGGCCUUGACAUGCCACUAACGAAGCAGAGAUGCAUUAGGUGCCCGUAAGGGAAAGUGGACACAGGUGCUGCAUGGCUGUCGUCAGCUCGUGUCGUGAGAUGUUGGGUUUAAGUCCCGCAACGAGCGCAACCCUUGCCAUUAAUUGCCAUCAUUUAGUUGGGCACUUUAAUGGGACUGCCGGUGACAAACCGGAGG